Molecule: ribosomal RNA, 253 nt
Filed under: uncultured bacterium
Lineage: Bacteria
Description: partial 16S ribosomal RNA
Rfam family: Bacterial small subunit ribosomal RNA
Source: RNAcentral
UACGUAGGGUGCAAGCGUUGUUCGGAAUUACUGGGCGUAAAGAGUGUGUAGGCGGUGUUCCCAGUCUGUUGUGAAAUCUCCCGGCUUAACUGGGAGGGUGCAGCGGAAACUAGAAUGCUAGAGGGUGGGAGAGGUAAGCGGAAUUCCUGGUGUAGCGGUGAAAUGCGUAGAUAUCAGGAGGAACACCUGUGGUGUAGACAGCUUACUGGACCACUUCUGACGCUGAGACACGAAAGCGUGGGUAGCAAACAGG